This 647-nucleotide unclassified non-coding RNA is filed under the name uncultured Prochlorococcus sp. RNAcentral's name for it is "partial 16S-23S ribosomal RNA intergenic spacer; may also contain 16S ribosomal RNA and 23S ribosomal RNA". The stretch from base 1 to 93 matches the Rfam family "Bacterial small subunit ribosomal RNA", at positions 1441 to 1533 of the family's 1533-position model. Lineage: Bacteria; Bacillati; Cyanobacteriota; Cyanophyceae; Synechococcales; Prochlorococcaceae. The record is from RNAcentral.
UUGUGGAGGAGGACGCCGAAGGUGGGGCUAAUGACUGGGGUGAAGUCGUAACAAGGUAGCCGUACCGGAAGGUGCGGCUGGAUCACCUCCUAACAGGGAGACAACAAAAUGUUUAAUAUUAUUAUUUUGUCACCUUAGGUCGAUCGGUAUCUCCCGUUCUUAAACUAAUUAAGAAUUUCAAUUCCUAAGUUUUUCUAGGUCACACCCAUUAUCUUUCCUGGGCCAUUAGCUCAGGUGGUUAGAGCGCACCCCUGAUAAGGGUGAGGUCCCUGGUUCAAGUCCAGGAUGGCCCAUAUCUCUAUGUUGGGGGUACAGCUCAGUUGGUAGAGCGCCUGCUUUGCAAGCAGGAUGUCAGCGGUUCGAGUCCGCUUACCUCCACUGAUUACCACCUCUUCCAUAAUCUGUAGAAAGGAAAUUUUUUGAGUUGUGAUCAAUUUCUGAACGAAUCUAGCUUCCUAAUGUAAGCAUUAAGAUGCUGGACUCAUUGAAUUAGUUUCAUUGUUUUCAGAGAACCUUGACAACUGCAUAGAUUAUUUUUAAAGACAAUAAGCAUCUUUAAUGAUGCAGAUUUAUUAUUUGUGCAAAUGCAUUAAUAACAAUUCUAUUAAGCUGAUGCUUCAAUUUUGAAGUUAUUGGUCAAGCUACAA